GGCGUGGUAGUCCAACUGGCUGGGCACUCGGUUGCAACCCGAGAUCGAUGCAGGUUCGAGUCCUGUCCACGCCU
This 74-nucleotide transfer RNA is filed under the name Myxococcales bacterium. RNAcentral describes it as "tRNA-Cys". It matches the Rfam family "tRNA". From Rfam's summary of the family: Transfer RNA (tRNA) molecules are approximately 80 nucleotides in length. Their secondary structure includes four short double-helical elements and three loops (D, anti-codon, and T loops). Lineage: Bacteria; Pseudomonadati; Myxococcota; Myxococcia; Myxococcales. The record is from RNAcentral.